This 347-nucleotide long non-coding RNA is filed under the name Citrus sinensis (sweet orange). RNAcentral describes it as "long non-coding RNA (CSIN_LNC004365)". The record is from RNAcentral. Lineage: Eukaryota; Viridiplantae; Streptophyta; Magnoliopsida; Sapindales; Rutaceae.
AAAAUUGUCCACAAGGAGUACAUUAGUUUCAUUUAUAUGAUUUCUAUUCUCCUUUCCAAGUAACACGAACUCAACAAAAUACAACAUGGCCAGCUUGACCAUUUUCAUGUCAUCAUUUGACUUAGCCUGCAAGAACUUUGUACAAAGUUCUUGUGUUGUGAUUGCACAAUUUCCAUCUAGGAACUCAUCAACUAUUGUGUAAUCAUCAUCAUUAUUUUUAGUAUCGGGGUCAUACGAUGGACUGCAAUCUAAGCCUGUCACCAAGGCAAACUCCUCCAAUGAAAAUCGAACAUUUUUUCGUCCGAUCCUAAACCACAUUACAUUUUCAUCUGAUUUCACUUCUCUCA